RNAcentral lists this long non-coding RNA (1808 nucleotides) under Marmota monax (woodchuck). The record is from RNAcentral. Lineage: Eukaryota; Metazoa; Chordata; Mammalia; Rodentia; Sciuridae.
CCUCUAACCACUUCUAACAGCCCACCCACCAUCUCUAAUGGUCAUUUCCACCUGUACCUGCAGCUCCUCUCAAGUCAAGUGAGGAAGUUGCCAGAUGCGUCCCAACACCUUCCCUCCCUGCCAGGGCCAGGAGCUUCUGAGGUGCCUCUGGGAGGCUUGGAAACACCCAGGUUUCCAGGCAGGGCAGCCCCGAGGCUGAGGGCAGAGAGCACCGUGGAUGUGAAGAAAGAGCCCCAUCCUUUGGGGAAGGCCGGAGAGCAGCAGGGACGGCUCCCAGCCACACCCCAACUGGGGCUGCCUUAGCCAUCAGCUCCAGGACCACAGGACGCACCCCCUCCUCUGCACCUACAGCCUCUGCAGGGCCUCUUUAGCACCCCAGAGGCAGGAUGAGGACACAAGGUGGAAGGACAGAGGGAAGCCAACCACCUGUGGCUCUGCCGGAAGCCGGGGAGCACCAGGCUGGGUCUCACUCACCUGCUGUUACUGCUGUUGUUGAAAAUGAAGUGCUGAUGGGCGUCAAGAGCUGGAGAGCCAGCAGCAGGACCCAGGUCACCAGCAUCUCCCGGGCUGUGCGCCCCUGGCUCCAGGAUCUUCCCUCUCAGGAGAGGGGCCAAGAAAUGAGAGCCUCCCAAGGAGGGAGCAGCUAUAAAAAGGACCCUGGAGACCUUUGCCUUGGGGAAGGACAGCGCCUGACCCAGGGUGGGGGCAAGGUGAUGACACGGGGUGGGUGACACACAGUGACUACAGGGAGUUGGCUAAAGGGCAGCCUCUCAACCUUCCUCCCCUCUAACUCCUGACGCACUGACUCCCCUGAGUCAGGGUCACUCCAGCCAGAGGAAGACAGUGUUACAGGGUGGGACAAGUCAAGAGGGAGGGACAGGAGGAAGGCAGGGGUGUGAGCCUGAGACAAUGACAGAGGGGCGGGACCAAGAAAUGCCAGGGAGGGGUGACUGAGGAGGGAGGGGUGUCCCAGGAGGGACACCCCGCAGGACAGGUGAAGGAGAAUCUUGCCCAAGGAGCACCCCCUUGCUCUAGGCCUUCUCUCCCCACCACCCACCUCCAGCUGCCCCUUCAGAAUUCCCAGUGCUUUCCCAUCAGGUGGGGUGCCCAUUCACACCUGAGGCUUUAUGGCCUGACUCCACCCCUGGCCAGAAUCAGAGGUGACGAAAGGCCAUGGGCCAGCUUCUGCCUAGGGCAAAGGUCCAUGGGGGCCUCUCCCAAACCCCCACCCAAAGGAUUACGGGGAUAGAUUAUUUCUGACCAUCUCAGCUCCAGCCAAGCAGGACCAAGAGCCCAUAAUGGUGGCAACAGGAGGGUCUGAGCCAGCACAGACAGGCCCUGGUGGGAGGACAUGUUUGCAAGAAGGGAUCUGGGAUGCUCAAGGUCUUUGGGGGCCCAACUUUAUAUUUCUGCAGAAAAGGCAGCAAGCCCAAACUGGACACCUCCCUGCCCCAGUCCUAGGGUCUAACUCCUUCCAAACCCCAGCCCUAAGCUUUGAGGUCACAGGUGACAAAAUCCAAGAGACCCUCACCUGCUGCUAAUGGAGAGACUCCCUGCCACCCAACCAAUAGCUAACAAAAUGGGUCCCCCCACCAAGCUUGAGGUAGUCAUGGCCCUGAGGGCUGCCCACAGAUCUUCCUUUCACCCUGGGAGACAGGGAUGGAUGCUUCCCUGACCCUCCUACACCUCAUUAGGAAGUCCCUGUUCUCCAACCAGGUAGACACUGCUGGGGACAAGAUGAGGCUGCAGGGGAGAAAGACACCGAAUACCGAACAGUUUCUUUGAUAAUAAAUGCUAUAUUGUGUUCA